Molecule: long non-coding RNA, 343 nt
Organism: Hyla sarda
Lineage: Eukaryota; Metazoa; Chordata; Amphibia; Anura; Hylidae
Exons: 2
Source: RefSeq, a predicted model, not a curated record
ACACAUGUGAUGUCAUCACCACUGUCAUCAGUGAGGGGCCUAAACUGUAGGAACCUAGGAAUGCAACUUCAUACCCGCCUGUGACUGAUGCACACUUUCCAGGCUGUGGGGCAGCACAUACACUGACACAUUGGCCCAAAUUCUAGAGGUAACCUCCUUUAGUAUGCCCAGAGGAAGGGCAGUACAGUAGCCAUGGAUUCCCUACAGGUUUCCUCCCCUCUGGAGGUUUUUCCUGUCCUGAGUUAGUUACUGUCCGCUCUUUGUGAGUGAUGGAGGUUACAUAAAAUCCCUACACAAACAUUUUUGUAAAUAAUAAAUAAAGUUCCCCUUUUUUUAAACUGUU